RNAcentral lists this ribosomal RNA (447 nucleotides) under uncultured bacterium. RNAcentral describes it as "bacterial SSU rRNA". It matches the Rfam family "Bacterial small subunit ribosomal RNA", at positions 355 to 825 of the family's 1533-position model. The record is from RNAcentral.
UGGGGAAUUUUGGGCAAUGGGGGAAACCCUGACCCAGCAACGCCGCGUGAAGGAUGAAGUAUUUCGGUAUGUAAACUUCGAAAGAAUAGGAAGAAUAAAUGACGGUACUAUUUAUAAGGUCCGGCUAACUACGUGCCAGCAGCCGCGGUAAUACGUAGGGACCAAGCGUUGUUCGGAUUUACUGGGCGUAAAGGGCGCGUAGGCGGCAUGACAAGUCACUUGUGAAAUCUCUGGGCUUAACCCAGAACGGCCAAGUGAUACUGUCGCGCUAGAGUGCAGAAGGGGCAAUCGGAAUUCUUGGUGUAGCGGUGAAAUGCGUAGAUAUCAAGAGGAACACCUGAGGUGAAGACGGGUUGCUGGGCUGACACUGACGCUGAGGCGCGAAAGCCAGGGGAGCAAACGGGAUUAGAUACCCAAGUAGUCCCUGAGCGGGCUGGCAAGGCGCAU